CAAGAGCUAGGACAGGAGGAGCCGCAGAGCUCGUAAUUGCUGCGGGGAGGACAGGCCAGCUCUGGAAGAAAACAGACAGGGUCUUGCUCUGUUGCCCAGGCCAAGUGCAAUGGCAUGAUCUCAGCUCACUGCAGCCUCCCGAUUGUUCCGAUGAAACUUUUAACCACGUGGUUUGUUAUGCAUGUCACACCCACAGGCCACUUCAAACUUGCAGCACACAGUGAGCAACUCGGACAAUAUAGGGUCCAGUGCUGGGAGGUGAGAGGGUCUCGCUCUGUCACCCAGGAUGCAGUGCAGUGGUGCCAGCAUGGCUCAUGGCAACCUCGAACUCCUGGACUCAAGAGAUUCUCCUGCCGCAGCCUCCAAGUAGCUGAGAAUACAGGUGUGCACCACCACCAGGCCUGGCUAAUUUUUUUUUUUUUUUUUUUAAUAAAGACGAGAUCUUGCUAUGUUGCCCAGACUGGUCUCAAACUCCUUAGCUCAAGUGAUCCUCCUGCCUUGGCCUCCCAAAAUGCUGGGAUGACAGACAAGAACCACCAUGCCCGGCCCGUUCCAUCAUUUCUUAUUGUGG
Molecule: long non-coding RNA, 571 nt
Filed under: Homo sapiens (human)
Lineage: Eukaryota; Metazoa; Chordata; Mammalia; Primates; Hominidae
Description: HSALNT0397582
Source: RNAcentral